UACGGAGGGCGCGAGCGUUAAUCGGAAUUAUUGGGCGUAAAUCGCACGUAGGCGGUUUGUUAAGCUAGAUGUUAAAGCCCAGGGCUCAACCUUGGAAUUGCACCUGAUACUGCUUCGCUAGAGUAUGGUAGAGGGGUGUGGAAUUUCCUGUGUAGCGGUGAAAUGCGUAGAUAUAGGAAGGAACACCAGUGGCGAAGGCGACACCCUGGACCAAUACUGACACUGAGGUGCGAAAGCGUGGGUAGCAGACAGG
Molecule: unclassified non-coding RNA, 253 nt
Filed under: uncultured Oceanospirillales bacterium
Lineage: Bacteria; Pseudomonadati; Pseudomonadota; Gammaproteobacteria; Oceanospirillales
Description: contains 16S-23S intergenic spacer region
Rfam family: Bacterial small subunit ribosomal RNA
Source: RNAcentral